AUGUUUUUUGUACUUGACAGUUUGGAGAUGAGAUCAUUUUGUUCUCUGCUUUUGAUUUGCACAUGCUCCAUGUGUGCUCCCUAUAAUCUCUGAACAGUGGCAUCAGUAAGACCUAAGCACAGCCCAUAUACCAUUGCUAGUUUCUCUCACAGCAGAGCAACCAGAAACAUGCAGCUGAGAAUUUCAUUAAGUCAUGAAAUACUCCUUGCCCUGGCCCAGCAGCAUGGUGAGAAAGCAAAAGCAGAUGGGGAACCAUUAGAAUCACCUAGACCAUCACUUCUAUAGGACAUUGAAAGGUAUUUUAAAUCUCAGAAGACUAAACAUCAAUAAGAGAAUUACUCCAGAAGUAAAUAACAGAAGAGGAAAACUUCUGCCUCCAAGUUCCCUCCCCUAUGUAGCUCCUACAUGUUUAUUUUAAGAGGGGUAGGAGUUGGCUCUCCAACACUGGAAAAUCCAGUGCCUCUGACAUGCUUCCCAUGUAUGAGGCUGGCUGCCUUCACUCUUCCCUAGCUUAGAAGGCCACGCUAAGACUGAUCCAAGUUUAGUGAAAUUUAGAUCACAUUACAAAAUACUUUUCCUUUUACCACGACCAAAAAAAGAGUAUGGAGAACUAUGGUAUUUCUCUGAUAGUCAGAAGAUCUUUUUUUUCCCAUCCUAAAUGUGUAACUUAUACUUGGCAUCUUUCAUUUGUCCAAGCUAUACAGUUUGGAGGCAAAGACAGAAAAAAAUGCAUUGUUCACAUAUUAGUUGAUUAUAUCCACCACUGAGGUGUAGCCCACGCUUCCCUUCAAACCCUAGAGGCUUAUACAGUGACAGAAAUACCAGGACCCAUAUAUUCAACAGUACUUCACAUAAAAUCUCUUGGUACAGCCAAGGAUGGUGAAAACAGGUAAAAGCCACCUCUCUGCAGGUCUAAGUGGAAUUGGUAGGGAAAAAAUAUAUAUAUUUCUUGCAGGAAUUCUGUUUUGCACUAAAAAAGAAAUCAACCACAAAGGGAACAAACAAAACACCCACCUUGAUAAUUUGCUGUAUCUAUCUACAACUGCGGCAUCGGACUUUCGUCCAAAUAAACCUAAUAAUCUCUUGGAGUGCUCUGAUUACCUGUUCUCCCUUUUGGCCACAGAAGCUGUAAAUGAAUCCUGAUUUAUAUAUUUAAAGUAACUACUAACAUACCCUGUUUCUUUUCCCUAUCCUUAAACAACUGCAGCCAGAUGCUUGGUAAAGUGAAGUUUUCACACGCUUCAUAGAACAUAACUACGAAAGAACGUCUAAGAUGCUUUAUUGCCUUAGACAUAGAGCUGAUCUCUCAGCUAAAUCUGAAUGUUACAGAACGCAUUAAGAACCACUCCGCUUUGGAGGGUUUGUAAUAUCAGCAAACUUUUUGUUUGAAGAUUUUGGAUAAUGCAAGAGUGCCAGUUUCUGGACCCUCCAGCAUUACCAGAAGUGGAAAAGGAAACCAUGUCUGAGAGAAAAGGACAGUUCUCAAAGACAUGAAAGGUCACAGUAUCAUCAGUUCACAUCCAAGCACCCAGAGAAUACAUGUCAUAGGGAAACGCAGCCUUUGUGAUCGUCAUGUUAAAAAUUGCACUCAGAUUCCACUAAUGAUGCUUUAGUGGAAUUCAGUACCCAUAUGAUUCUCUGUUCAUCUCUUACUUUGGCUUUUUGACAAAUAUUGUUCUACUCUAUUAAGCAGAAACUAAACCAACAUAAUCUGCUUUGCUGGAAGAGAUGAGCAAGCUCAAUAAUCUGCUUCCCUGAAAAGCAACGGUUUGGGUCUUUUGAGGAGUCAGCCUCAGAAGUAGUGGGGCACCUCCAGGAGGAACAGUUGCCCAGCAGUGCUGAGGCUCCUCUCCUCCCGUACCACUUUUUAUGGCCACGUACCAGCUGGGCGUUUAGCUCACAAGUUCAGAUGACUGUAUUUUUAUCUCAAAAGUUUAUCAUUGAUCUUCAGGGUCUGAAGUCCGCCUCACUGUGUUCCAGGCGACACGGAGCUUCUAACUGGUAUCCCUGGACACGCAGUUUGCUGCCAGGUGGGCUACAAAGAGGCAAACUCCAGAGCGCAAUGAUUACAAGUCUGCCAACAAACCAAUGCAGUGCUAAACCACUGCACAUCCAGAUGUAGCUACGGAGAGCACUCAGAACACUCAGCUGUAUAACUGCAUGCAGGCAUCCAUGAAGCAAGACUUCAAGAAAAACAAUUCCAAGACGACGCAGGUUGGCAACGGUUAGAACUGAACAGUACCAGCUUUUGUCAACCACCUGCAAACCUUUAAUAAGAAAUACAUAGGGUUAUUAAGGGAUCGUCUCCUUUGCUGCCUCAAAAGUCACCCUGCUUUCUAGAAGGGAUUUUAUCAUUAGGUAUUCGAUAGUAAUCAUAGCUCAUGACAACCAGGAUUCUACAUUUUUAAUAUUUCCCCUCACGCUCCAGCUUUUGGCUUUGGGAAUUUACGCCCUUAUUUGACCAUUCCCAAGCAGCGAGUUAAAGCACGUUGCAGCUGGAGCUGUUGAACUCAUUUCUGUCUCCCUUAUGGAUGGGAGUCUCUGAUAGCUGGCACUAAGCAACUUCACCUCUGGCAUCACUUGUGGUAUAUUACUUAACACGUCCAGGUCUCACACUGAAAAAAAAAGUGGAUAAAGAAUUAUCAACAGUGACCACCCCCGCCUCCUUCCCUAGAAGGGUAAAGGCAUUUGUCUCUGCAAAUUGAUAUACUUGCCUAUGGGGAAAAACAAAAACAAGAAAACAAUGGGCUAAGCAAAUUAGAAUGCAAUUAUGUUUUUGAUUUUUAAAUAGAGUCAGAAGGCCUUUAAAAACCUCUUAAAAAAUUAGACAUGUUCUAUCAGAAAGAGGAAGAACAGCUUAUCCAACUCACCUAAAACAUCUUUCACACCUAACUCAAAUCAUGGUGCCACCAAGCAAUUUUUAUUUCCCUUUGAGAAAAACCCUUAUCAAAGAGAGGUAAGUAAGGAGAACAAGCUGGGAGGGAGAAACUCACAAAUGAAAGGAGCCUGUUCCCACAGUACAUGUAAAUCUACUGAGUUCAAGACGUCCCAACUGCCAUUUUAAUUUUUCUGUGGCAAACCAUUUCAUGCUCCUCCGCACUUGAUUUUAGAGAGCAACAUGUAUUUCCCUUUGCUUUCACUUCCAUUCCUUUUGGCUUCCACCUUUUACUGCUGCAGUUUACUGACACCCGCUUUGUGGAGAAGCUGACUUUGGUGGUCACCAUAUUGAUGCUGUAAGUCAAUCCCUCCUCUUAUUGCAAUUAACAAUCAGAGGUGGUAAAAACAAGCGAUAAUUAGAGUAGAGAUGCCCUGUCACUCUCGUAAUUCUCAUCAACCCAAGAACCACGUUCUUCCUAAAGCACAGAAGUUCCAUUUGGGAACAGACCUUAGUGAUGAGUGCUAUUGAAGACUGACUUCAUUUUCCUGGAAUGCGUGUUUUCAAGACCUCAGGGGUACAAUUUUCUUGAGUUCUAUAAUUCACUGGCACAAGAGAUAAUGUUUGCGGCUGAAGAGAGGGCUCCUUUUACCCACGUGUGACUGAGAAUCAAUAGCAGUGAAACCUAAGCUUGCCUUCCACGAAAAGAACAUCUUCCACUGACUUCAGUGCAGGCAAUAUCACUUCAAGAGCUUCUUCUGUUCAGAAUUACGCCACGCAACCAGUUGAUAUGAUACAAAAACUUUUGAAGUUAAAUUCCAUCAGGACAGAAAAGCAAUGCUGACUACAAACACCUAAGGCACAAUUCCAAUAUAACUUAUGCCUCACACAGAUGCAUCUUUCAUGGAACAUACCCCUGAUAUUUUCUGAAGGACUCCAGCAGCUACUUUAUGCCAUUUCCACAACUCUGCUUAAUUUCCAGAGACGCCCAACUCCUACUACUUGCCCUUCUGACCAUGCAAACUCAAACCCCGUUCGCAUACAGUGGUUACUGUUUCCAAGCAGUGCUAUAAAACAGGCAGCGCUCGCAUCCUCACCAUCCACAUUUCCCUGCACACUGUGAACUCCGCCGUUACGCCUGUUUUCGUGACUAUGCUGGUAAUAAACUGCAGCAGACAAGAAGCAAUUCCACUGUCUGCUUUGCUGCUUCUAUUAUUAGAAUAGCAACUCCAAAACUGAAGAAUGGGAUGGAGUGCUGAAAUCCUUUUGAAGUACCUCGAGCUCAUGAGUCAGACCAUUUGCAAACAGAGCAAGCUGUACAGCACGUUCGUCCCCAGUGACAGAUAAAAUACAUUAAGCAUUAACUACCCAGAGGAACAUCAAUGCGUUUGUGAACUAAUACAAUAUCCUGAAGCUCUAAUACCUAACAUAUUGCAGAUGUUGUAAUGGACAGAAAAAAUGCUGUUCGUUUGAAGCCUAGAAGGAGACACAAAACAACAGGGCACUGUUUAAAUUUCGUCUUCCUUUGAAGAAUAAUUUUUCAAUUUUUAACACAAGAAAUGAAACACCAGAACAAGUAAAGGUUAUUAGGACACACCGAAAAUCAAACAGGCUUAAAUAUUAAAACAAAUUGCAAGGAAUUUCCAAUCACACUAAACAUGAUCUAGGUAGAAAUACACUGUCACUGAGGUCUUGGAAGAAUCGGAACCAACGGUAAGCGUACUUCAGAUGGACUGCUAUCAAUUCCCUUUGCAUUUAAAGCUGACAGUUCCGUUUUGGUCACUCACAGUUACAUUGCGGAAAGAAAUUUCGUCAAUCCACGUUUAAAAACGUGGAUUUCCAACAUUAUUGAAGACAUACAGUUUAUAGGACUGCCUUUCAGAUUACUGUAAAGCAAAAGGAGAUACACAGAUUAACUGCGGAUGACUUUUGAUGGCUAGAAGCUCCUAAACACUUGAGGGAUGGUCAAAAAGCCACAACAUUGUGAUGACAGAAGCAAAAAAAAACGUACUUAAGUAGCACAAGCAUUAAAGAGACUCUGAAUAGGGGGAAUCUCAGUUAAGUUCUUAAACAGAUGAAAGAGACAAUUUGCAGCUUAGCAAGACUGCACAGUGUCAUAUGGCAAGAAAGAAAUCUGCUCAAAGUCACAGGGCCACAAGACUGUUCAUAUGAAAAAAAGUUCUUCUGAAAAAAUUUGGUGCACUCAUGUUCUCCCGCUCCCUAGGAAGAUAGUAAUGAUUUGAAAAUCUCAAAGCAGAACCACCAAAACACACAAGAUUUUCUACCAGUUUGCACUUUGCAUCAUCCAACUCCAGAGUGCAGACAACAGCAGAAACACCACUGUCAGUUCCUUAAAUUCAGGAUAUCUUUAUGAAAAUUUCCACACGUAUGUGAGCUGGGGAACUGGUUCCCUCCUGGAUUCUAGUUAGAAAAGGUGAGAUGUAGGUUCCCCUCUGUCUGAAAAGAAUGAGAAAUAAAAAAAAAAAAAGGAGGAAAAGGAAAGUUUCAUUUACAACACAAAAAGGGGAUGUGACAGUCUGAAAUUCAGUAUGCUGACACUUGAGUUUUAAGAUGGAAUGCUGCUGGACUCAACAAUCAUCCUCUCCACCAGCCUGAAGUCCAGCUUCACAUCUUCAUCUGCAACCUGAAUGACGGGACAGAGUGCACCCCCUGCACGACUGCUGCACGUCUGCAGACAGCAUGGAGUGGGGUGGAGGUACUGGCAUGGCAGAUGGCCACACUGCUGCUCACAGGGAUCCAAGCCAGCUGAAGAAGUGAACUAGUAGGAAACUCACCACGGUCAACAAGGGGAAAUGGCAAGUCCUGUACCUGGGGAAGAUUUGCAGAAAAAGUCCUACGGUCCUGGACAGCAUUCAGAAGAGCACUGCCAGUAGGUGGAGGAAGCAGCAUCGUUCCUCUCCUCUCAGCACUAGGGAGGCUGAACCUGGAGCCCUGGGUAAGGAGUGAGUUCAGCAAAGGGCCACUAAGGUUGAUGAAGGACUGGAGCAUCUUUCAUAGAAGAAGCAGAGGGAACUGGGACUGUUCAGCCUGGAGGGAGAAGGCUCAAGGAGAGUUGUUUUAUCCAUGUAUAAAUACCUGAUGGGGGUGCAGGGAGCAGGGUAAAGAAGACUUAGCCAGCCUCCUUCCUAUGGUAUCCAGUAACUGGUUGAGAGGCAACAGGCACUAACCAGAAUACACAAAAUCCUGCUUCAACACAAGAAAAAAAGAACAACUUUUUCACUUUUUCACCCUCAGGUGGUCAAAUACUGACACACUUUGCCCAGUGAGGUUGUAAAGUCUGUUACCAACAGCUACAACAGAACAUACCACUUUAUCCCAUGGCAUGAAAAGGAAUAUACUUUACAGUCAGAAGGCACGCUGGAAAUAAAAGUGGGCAGGGUCUUCCUGUCUUAUUGCUGCAGAACUGCAACAAAGAUGUAAAUGCACGUGGAGAAUAAUUCAGCCCUUAGUUACGGAGGAUGCAGAAUAUGCUUAACCUGUGAUUGUAAGAUCCAGGCAAAAAAAGUGGGUCCAGCCAUUGUGUUCACUGUUACAAAGUCUUGAGAUAUUUAUCCAAAGUUAUAGAACUUCAGAUCUAUAAUAGCAAACAUGGCAAAGUAAACUACUCUAUUGAGACUGUUCUGUCUGCACGUCAAAUACCAAGCACGUGGCAGUUACAUCUCAUUUAAGCAACUUCUGGUUACUCCAACACCCAAACAUUCAAAUUACUACUUAACAUUCGGAUACAGCUAUCGGCCACCUUUAAAUGCAAAACUUAAAGACUGGAGUAGUGACAAGUAAACAAGAAGGCAUGCACACUUCCUUCUAAAUUGUAAAACAGGAGGGCCACAAUUAUUUUCCAUACCCUCUUUUUCCAAGAUUUGUUAUCUUUCCUAUUAGCAAGGUGCUCUAAUAUUUGAGAAGCAAAACAAAGCCACUGCAAGAUCAUAUAAGUGUAUGUGCUGGUCAUUAAAAAAAAAAAAAAAAAAGUAAGCAGAGGAGGCAAGACAGCUCUAUCAGAGAUAUCAGAAGAAGCAACAACAGCUGGACCGGAACCAACCCUCAUGGAUCUGUGGUCUGCUAGGCUGGAAGAGCUGCCAGGCAAGUCCCUUCAGCCCAACACACAGAGCAUACCCUGCACGAGCCACCCAAGCUGCCUUCCAAAUGGAUGAGCUGCUUUGAAACAAACUAAAAACAAACCAACAGAAAACCCUUGUUAGAAAUGUUGUGGUCUUUAGACCAUGGCAAGCAUGGUGUUUUGUACUUCAGUGCUUCAGAAUGUGUCAAAAACAUGCAACUUCCCACACACCCCUGCAGAACCACUACUUGGGCAGGGACAGGGUGACAGCUGUUAGACUUGCUAGUGGGUUUUGAAUUUGUUUAGGGAAAACAAAUUUUAAGAAAAUAAGGAAUGUAUUUUCUAAGAGAGCUCUCUGAAAGCAAACCUCGGUCACAACUCAACUACUGCAUCUAACAAUAACCUGAGCUGUCUUUCAGCAGAGCCAUCUGCCCACACGGCAGAAUCCACCCGGGGGCAUUAUCACAAACUACAAUGCUAUUGCUACAGUUUCCUUUUGAGUCACUGGCAACGGUAUGCAUUACUAAUUCGAUGCUGCUGCUUGUCUUUCCAGAUGUGAAAUUCCCUGUGAGGCCAGAAGAGAGUCAUUCAUAAGUCACUUCAUUUCCAUCCACUGUUAAGGCCGCUCAAAAAGCACAGCUACUGUAUCACACACCCUAGAAAAGCUAAUCCAUAAAGGACUAAAGCACACCUUCCUAGUCGGGUUUCAGGGCAGACAGGGACCAGAGAGCACACCAAGGUUCACAGCUCCAACUAAGGGGAUACUUCUCAGAUUGUGUAACCAACACCAAGCAUCAGUAUAUCCGAACCAACGGUGUGAAAAAUGCCCUUAGGGUAAUGGUCUAUGCAAAGCAAAUGACUUGUGAAACAUCACUCCUGUUUCCUCCAGAGAGGAAAAUACCCCUUUCAAAGCAGGGGGAGCGGCUGAAACCCGCUUUGCAGCCUCAGCUGUUAAAUUUGAGGACCUUGAUCAAAAGAGAAACAGGAGAAAUGCAAGAAGCAAACCAGCUGGUCUAGUGCCAGCUGGCUAAAGCAACCAACCAGCCCUCCUACAGGACCACAGCACUCCCAUCGCUC
Long non-coding RNA from Numida meleagris (helmeted guineafowl), 8030 nucleotides. RefSeq lists it as uncharacterized. The transcript has 3 exons. The record is from RefSeq and is a predicted model, not a curated record. Lineage: Eukaryota; Metazoa; Chordata; Aves; Galliformes; Numididae.